Molecule: ribosomal RNA, 525 nt
Filed under: uncultured bacterium
Lineage: Bacteria
Description: partial 16S ribosomal RNA
Rfam family: Bacterial small subunit ribosomal RNA
Source: RNAcentral
AGGGAAUCUUCGGCAAUGGGGGCAACCCUGACCGAGCAACGCCGCGUGAGUGAAGAAGGUUUUCGGAUCGUAAAGCUCUGUUGUAAGUCAAGAACGGGUGUGAGAGUGGAAAGUUCACACUGUGACGGUAGCUUACCAGAAAGGGACGGCUAACUACGUGCCAGCAGCCGCGGUAAUACGUAGGUCCCGAGCGUUGUCCGGAUUUAUUGGGCGUAAAGCGAGCGCAGGCGGUUUGAUAAGUCUGAAGUUAAAGGCUGUGGCUCAACCAUAGUUCGCUUUGGAAACUGUCAAACUUGAGUGCAGAAGGGGAGAGUGGAAUUCCAUGUGUAGCGGUGAAAUGCGUAGAUAUAUGGAGGAACACCGGUGGCGAAAGCGGCUCUCUGGUCUGUAACUGACGCUGAGGCUCGAAAGCGUGGGGAGCGAACAGGAUUAGAUACCCUGGUAGUCCACGCCGUAAACGAUGAGUGCUAGGUGUUGGAUCCUUUCCGGGAUUCAGUGCCGCAGCUAACGCAUUAAGCACUCCGC